AACUCCUACGGGAGGCAGCAGUGAGGAAUAUUGGUCAAUGGCCGAGAGGCUGAACCAGCCAAGUCGCGUGAAGGAAGAAGGAUCUAUGGUUUGUAAACUUCUUUUAUAGGGGAAUAAAGUGGAGGACGUGUCCUUUUUUGUAUGUACCCUAUGAAUAAGCAUCGGCUAACUCCGUGCCAGCAGCCGCGGUAAUACGGAGGAUGCGAGCGUUAUCCGGAUUUAUUGGGUUUAAAGGGUGCGUAGGUGGUGAUUUAAGUCAGCGGUGAAAGUUUGUGGCUCAACCAUAAAAUUGCCGUUGAAACUGGGUUACUUGAGUGUGUUUGAGGUAGGCGGAAUGCGUGGUGUAGCGGUGAAAUGCAUAGAUAUCACGCAGAACUCCGAUUGCGAAGGCAGCUUACUAAACCAUAACUGACACUGAAGCACGAAAGCGUGGGGAUCAAACAGGAUUAGAUACCCUGGUAGUCCACGCAGUAAACGAUGAUUACUAGGAGUUUGCGAUACAAUGUAAGCUCUACAGCGAAAGCGUUAAGUAAUCCACCUGGGGAGUACGCCGGCAACGGUGAAACUCAAAGGAAUUGACGGGGGCCCGCACAAGCGGAGGAACAUGUGGUUUAAUUCGAUGAUACGCGAGGAACCUUACCCGGGUUUGAACGUAGUCUGACCGGAGUGGAAACACUUUUUCUAGCAAUAGCAGAUUACGAGGUGCUGCAUGGUUGUCGUCAGCUCGUGCCGUGAGGUGUCGGCUUAAGUGCCAUAACGAGCGCAACCCUUAUCGCUAGUUACUAACAGGUGAAGCUGAGGACUCUGGUGAGACUGCCAGCGUAAGCUGUGAGGAAGGUGGGGAUGACGUCAAAUCAGCACGGCCCUUACAUCCGGGGCGACACACGUGUUACAAUGGCAUGGACAAAGGGCAGCUACCUGGCGACAGGAUGCUAAUCUCCAAACCAUGUCUCAGUUCGGAUCGGAGUCUGCAACUCGACUCCGUGAAGCUGGAUUCGCUAGUAAUCGCGCAUCAGCCAUGGCGCGGUGAAUACGUUCCCGGGCCUUGUACACACCGCCCGUCAAGCCAUGGGAGCCGGGGGUACCUGAAGUCCGUAACCGCAAGGAUCGGCCUAGGGUAAAACUGGUGACUGGGGCUAAGUCGUAACAAGGUAGCCGUACCGGAAGGUGCGGCUG
RNAcentral lists this ribosomal RNA (1176 nucleotides) under human gut metagenome. RNAcentral's name for it is "bacterial SSU rRNA". It matches the Rfam family "Bacterial small subunit ribosomal RNA", at positions 334 to 1520 of the family's 1533-position model. The record is from RNAcentral.